Long non-coding RNA from Thalassophryne amazonica, 2463 nucleotides. RefSeq lists it as uncharacterized. The transcript is spliced from 5 exons. Lineage: Eukaryota; Metazoa; Chordata; Actinopteri; Batrachoidiformes; Batrachoididae. The record is from RefSeq and is a predicted model, not a curated record.
GUGUGCAUAUUUUGAUUUGUGCGUGUGAAAUCUGUGCGUGUGUAAACAGAUCCACAAAUGCGUAUAGAAAUCUGUGCAUGUGUAUUUUGAUCUGUGCGUGUGUAAACAGAUCCACAAAUGCGUAUAGAAAUCUGUGCGUGUGUAUCCGUGUGUCUGUGAAAAUCGGGCCACUCGAUUGGACGUAUUCUUACUCGUGACUUUUGCUACAGUUCUGCCGCGUCAGAUCUGUAAAUGCGUGCAGCGAUUUGUGUCUGUGUGGAGACUCGUCUGUGCCUCAGUGGUUAUACAGCUUCAUACCACCAGAGGGCGCAAGCUCACCGCUGCCAUUUUAAGCCCAGCUGGAUAGACUGUAUGGUAGGAGAAACAGACGAUGCAGUGGAGUCUGGAUGGCGUGCAGUAAGUACAUAAUCGUUAUAUUGUGAUAACUUCGGUUGUUAUAAGUGGUAUUUUCGAAGAAAUAACAAUGUUAAAAAAAUCUAUCUGUUAACAAGUUAUGUUAUCUUGUUAGAGACACAAUACCUGAAGUCCAACAAAUUAGCAGCUAGCCUUGGACCUGAGACACAGCACAUAAGAUAUCGUCAAGGAUUUAGCUUGGAGUCAUUCCAUCUGACUAUCUACCAGACUUUUCUGCAUAUUCAAGGAGAUGUGAUGUGGUGGCAAGAAGUAUUUCUAAUGUGAUAACUUUAACAGCUUUUUCAAAGUACCCAGUUUAUUGUCAUUCCGCCAAAGUGCUUAUUUGUCUGCCAUUAAUUACAUUUUUCUUCCAACCUAUCUUUUCUUUCUUCAUUCCUUUCUAUCUGAAGCUGAAAGAAAAGUCUGAACUCCAAGGUGAACAGUGUGACAGUGUUGUCAACCUUUGCAUGUUAUGGGACCUUCCGCUUCCAAACCUAAACAUGAAGUGGCUCCAUGACAAGCUACUCAUACAUGCGGUUCUGGAUCGACCAGCAAAACAAGUGAAGCAGUUAUGGAAGGGACUGAAGGAGACUGGCAUUUGGCCUCUUCUCUGCUAUAGAGCAGAUGUAGAGAAACUGCUUUUCCCUUGUGAAAAAGAUGCAGAGAUCACACCCCAGAUGAUUCUUGCACACAUCACAUGGCCCUAGCUGAAAUCAGAUUUUGACUCUGAUGACGAAGAUGAGGCAUCUGUGGAGGCCAUCACACAGGUCACAGGCUACUUCAGGAGUUUUAUUGAACACGCUUACUCAGAACUGAUGAAUCUGCUGCAAUUCUGGGUGGGUUGGGAGGUUCCACCCAAGGAGCUGAUUGUGAAGAUUUGACCAAAUUCUUUAUGUGUUGACCUGAAGUUGUGGCCACCGAUUUUACAUACAUUUGGGACAUCUGGCUCCGGUACUGGACACUGCAGUUGUCCUAUUUCCCACAGUUGGUUGGGUGACAUGUUCUGCUCGGAUUUCAAUGAAUGGUUGUCCCACCCAUCAUGGAACACAUCAAGGGAGGCCUGGAGCCGUGGAAUGAAGACAUAGUGGCAACAGAACAAGUGUAGUUCACUGGGCAGAUCUUGAUGUCCUUCAUCUUCUAAGGUGUGAAGAACACUGUAGAAGACAUUUGUCACUGCCAUGUACGCAUCUCUCCAAAGUCUCUCAAUCCUGUAAAAUUGGCAGAAAUAAUUUGGCAAAGGUUAAUUUUUCUCAGACAUUAUGGAUGUGGCAUAAAAAGCUAACAUACAUAUUAAUAUUAGAUAAACGUUUGAAUAACACAAGAUUUAACACAAAAUAUGCCAGACUACUCCCUGUUAGAAUUCACCUGAGAAAUACAGCUGUUCAUUGGCAAGUUUGUUUUUUUUUUUUAGGGGGGGCUAGCUGAAGCUGCUGAAUGUAGUUAAUGCUUUUCAGUUAGGCUGAGGUAGAUGACAAGAGCUGUUGAAUCAUUGUUUAGUCUGUAUUAAGGCUUUUAUGCAGAUGUUGAACAAAACAGGUCACUACAAAAGUAACACCAGUAGAUGCCAUUGUUAGGCCGUUAUAGGUAGAUAAAAUGUUAUGAUGCUCAGGUUUAUGCCAUUGUAAAAUACAUGGCAACUGUUAAGUUGGUGGAUGCAAAAAAACAGGGUGGUUUAUUACACAAUGGGAGAUGGUUGUUAGUGUAUUGUAAGUGAAUGCAAAACGCUGUCAGUUUGCUUAUGAUUGUAAAUUGUAUGGUUGACCCUUCAUCCAGUGUUUUAAUAAAGUCUACCUUUGAUUGUGUACAUUUUUUUCCCCGCAAUGAAACUCCCCGUUCCAGUGCCACAAACAGACAACAUUAGACGUGCAACACCAAUAUUCUCCACUCCUUGAUCAGCUCUUACUCUGGAAAAUGUACAUGAAACAUGCAAUUUAGUGCAAAAAAAAAAAAAAAACUAAUCACUUUAUGAAACAAUCAAUGCAAAGUGCUCAAGAAAGGUGGGCUUAGGAAACAUAGCAGAUAGUGCUGCACAGCUCAUGUUGCUAUGCCCAGGUUGAGUCAGCAACAUUU